This 253-nucleotide ribosomal RNA is filed under the name uncultured bacterium. Its description in RNAcentral is "partial 16S ribosomal RNA". It matches the Rfam family "Bacterial small subunit ribosomal RNA", at positions 524 to 776 of the family's 1533-position model. The record is from RNAcentral.
UACAGAGGUCCCAAGCGUUGUUCGGAUUCACUGGGCGUAAAGGGUGCGUAGGUGGUGAGGAAAGUCUGAUGUGAAAUCUCCAGGCUCAACCUGGAAAUGGCAUUGGAAACUACCUUGCUCGAGGAGUGGAGGGGGGACUGGAAUGCUCGGUGUAGCAGUGAAAUGCGUAGAUAUCGAGCGGAACACCAGUGGCGAAGGCGAGUCCCUGGACACUUCCUGACACUGAGGCACGAAAGCUAGGGGAGCAAACAGG